ACCCGGAGUGUAAAAUACAGAGUCUGGGGCUGUGGGGUAACAGACUGACCGAUGGCUGCACUGAUGAUCUGGUCUCAGCUCUCAGUACAAACCGCUCACUGAGGAUCCUGGGCCUGGGGUCUAACUCCUUCACAGACGGCUCUGUCCCCGCUCUCCGCCGCCUCAUACAGACCUGCACCAGUCUGGAGGGGAUCAGGCUGUGGUGGAAUAAGUUCAGUUCAGACGGGGAGAAUCAGCUGCAGUCACUGCGGGGAAUCAGAUCUGGGCUGUCAGUGACAGUGAGAUUUGGACUGAGUCAGAGACCGUCCACACAGUCUGUGUAACAUGAAAUGUAUUCUAGAUACUGUAGUGAUUGAUUAUUAAAGAUGAUAAUCCUGA
Molecule: long non-coding RNA, 378 nt
Organism: Callorhinchus milii (elephant shark)
Lineage: Eukaryota; Metazoa; Chordata; Chondrichthyes; Chimaeriformes; Callorhinchidae
Exons: 3
Source: RefSeq, a predicted model, not a curated record